GACUCACCUGAUGUGCCAUCGGGAGCUCUUGUGUUGCAGGGAAGAGGCUGGAUGAAAUGAGAGCCAAGGCAUGAAGAUUGUCCUCAUCUGACAAAGCUUGAGGAGUUCAUGGUGGCUGAGGAAGCACAUACCAGAAUCGCCUCCAGCCUGAUGGCAGUGACCAGCGAGCGACCCACUGCCAAUCCUGCAGGGUUGAACAGAGAAGCCUGGCAUAAGCUGGACCAGACUCUACCCUGGAGGUCUUCCAGCCAUCCCAGGAGACCUCAUGCCCAUUUGUCCUCCAUGCUGUGCUCUAGAACCCAAAAUGCCUUC
Passer montanus (Eurasian tree sparrow) is the source of this 312-nucleotide long non-coding RNA. RefSeq lists it as uncharacterized. The record is from RefSeq and is a predicted model, not a curated record. The transcript has 3 exons. NCBI's taxonomy places the organism in Eukaryota, Metazoa, Chordata, Aves, Passeriformes, Passeridae.